GGAACCGGGCCGAACCAGCCCGUAAACCGUUGACAUCACCUCACUAGGACAUUUUGACCCAGGUGUCAGCGUGUGUCAGGCUUUGCAGGCUCACAGCCUCAGCUAGAGCUGAGUAGGAAGAUGUAGACAGCACCCUCCCACAGCAAGCCAAAUUAAUCCCUGAGGUUACAGCAUUUUACUAAAUAGAUUCACUGAGCAGGAUUUGAAAUUAUGUCUCAGCUCUCAUUGGGGUUGUCAGUUCCCUCACUGCAAAGUUGGCAAAGUCACCCACGUUGGAGGUGGGGGACAGCUACAAAGAAGGAUGGUUCGGAAACCUGAGUUCUCAUGCUUUUGGAGGCUCAGUUAUGGACAUGGUAUAUAUAAGUAUGGGAUUCUCAUGCUUUACAGGAAUAAAUCUACCAGGCUGAUAAGGUGCAGCAACUGACAGCAUCUAGGAAACAUCCCCAGAACACCAAAGAAAAUCUGCACUCCUGAUUUUGAGAGAGGUUGUGAUGCAUGGCCCAAAGGAAGCAUCCCUGCACCCAAGGAAUAAGCCACUGCAUUUGCUGACAGUUUACAUGGUACACAGGAGGGAACUCUGCCCUGGGCAGAUGAGGAUUGUCUUGUCCAGACAGACGACAGAAUCCGAGAAGUAGCAGGAGCUCUUUGUCAUCCUGCUGUGAUCUGUGAGGAGAAAGGUGCAGCUGUGAGAGUCCAGGCUAUGGCAGCUCUGUUACUGGAUUCUGAGCUGCUGCCAGAUGAUCUCUUGUCUCUUUUAAGUGAAGGUGUUUCCAUGGCUAUACAUGCAGUCACAGUAAAUCCAUGAACCACAGUGCUGUCAGUUCACAGGUUUUGGAAAGUUGUUCAUCAUGUCAGGUUAAUGAAAAUAUGGAACAAAUGCUCCGAAGAGAGCUGGAAAGCAACACCAAGCUCAGAUUGGCGCUACACGGACCGGUGCUCCCUUGGGAUGUGACGUAAGGAUGCGCAGGUGGUGGCCAGGAGCCCAGAGCAAGACUGGGUGAUGGGCAGAGGAAAAGCAGCUAGAUAAUACAUUUCUCUUCCUCCCUAUGACAAACUGCAAACGCCAAAGGGCGGCUGAAAUCUAACAUCUGGUGUAACUGUACAAACCUGACCUUAGGUCACGCCCAUCCGAGUAUGAGUCAUUUCCAUCGAAAGAGGAGGCUGCCUUGAUCUGUGUGCGAGCAGCAGCUGUUGGAGCAAACACAAACAUGCAUGCCAAGGAUUGUAAGGAUGGAGUUUAUCUACUAUGUAAACAACCACCUGCUUCAAAUGAAAAAUUACUCCCUCACCACCUGAAUAAGAUAAGCAUAUGAUGGGGGGAAACGAAGAGACAGAUUUAUUAUUAAUUUGCUGGAACUUUCAAACCAAACAUCUCUUUUGCAGUGGAACAGUACGAUGCACCAGGAAGCAAUGCUCCUUGCCCCAGACCUGCUCAGCAGCAUUUAUUUUGCCUAAGUGAUUUUCCCUUUUUUUUUUUCCUUAAGUCUGCUGGAGAUGAAAACACCAACCCAAAGAAGAUAAUUAAAAGCUAAAUGAAACCACAUACAGCUGUGCUACUACAUAGCUAAUGAACAUGCAAAUAUAUACAUAUGACAAGGACAUAAUGCAGACUGGCUGCCUUGAGUGCUGAGUGCAGAUUUCGAAGAGCUGGAAAUGCUAUUGAUUAUAGCUGAGCUAAACUUCCUGACUCCAGACAUCAAAGAUCAGCCUCAAUGUAAUCAUCACACAGCAUAUGGGAGCGUGGCUGUGAGGCGCUAAUGAGUGAUGGCUUGGGGACCUGAAUGUUUGCACAUAGGGUGGAAGACAUCCCAUUGGCCACCCAGCACUGAGCACCAUACAGCCCUGUCUUACUGCCUGUUGAGAUUCUGGAACUAUGGGUUUGAGCUGGGAUACUCACUUUUGCCUUCCCACAUCACUUGACAAGGUGCUGGUACAUGGCAGGCAUGUUCUUGGGUAAGAACAUGCAGUAGGUAACACAUAUAAGGCAAUGCUUCUGGGCUCUUGUGAAGCAGUAGGUAUGAGCACCUGGACAGGUUCUCCUUGGAUGGUUUUCUCCGGCACUGGUGUGAAAGAAGGUCAAAUCAGAUUUCUCUUAUUAGUCAAAAACUAACAACCAAUUUAUCAGCAUCCAUUGAUUCCUCUGAGCUCACAACCAGAAUACAGAAUGCCGUUCCCAAGGCAGUUCCCAAGGAGCUCCUUGCACAUCAGGGCCCCAGCAAAGAAGAACCUCACAGCCUACCCAGAGAUGAGAUGAGAUAUGCACAGAGCAGAGGAGACCUGGUCUUCCCCACCUUCCCCUUGUGCCCCAUUCCCCAGCCACACCACGAUGGCGAUGUUACAGAAACAGACUUGUUCUCCUCCACGAUGGCCACAGAAGCAGCACAGAGCCUGAGGGACUUUCUAGAAGCAUCACGGAGAGAUGGGGCACAGCCCUUGGGGGAAAAGAUGGCAGAGACUACGGGACAGAAACCAAACUUGUGCCGAACACAAUGCUUAGUGUAUAAAAAUUAAUCAAGUACUACAAUGACUUGCUUUAUUCAUAAUACUUAAUGGUCAUGUAAUAGGAGUUUUUAUUCUGCAGUUAAAGUUCAUAAGUGCAGGUUUUACAUGUAGAAAGGUAUUAUGCUGAUAGUUUAAUUACACACCUUUCUGCACACCAAAGGAAAUGGGUUAUGCGGGUUUUGUAAUUAAAGAAGGACUUCUGAGGGGAAAUGAACUUUGCAGUUAGCAGUGUAGUAUUUGAUUUUUAUCAGGUGUUUUUGUUUUGAGUUUGCCAGCACUCGUUGUGUGGUAAACAGGUGAGAACACCCCGAAUGGCACGAGGUGCCAGGGAGAAGCUGUGAGCAUGCAGCAGAGUAGCAGUAUUUAAGAAUAGCAUGGGUGAGCACGAGGCACCAGCGUCAUGUGUUGGAAGGUGCUCCGGAGCUCUGUCUGUGCAAUUCUAUACAGUGCAAGUCUGACCAGCAUGUCUAGGAAACAGGAGAAAAAAAAAAAAAAGGAAGCACUUAAUUAAAACUAAACCCUGGUACUCGCCAAAAUAAUUGAAAGCUCUACUUCUUAUUUUUCGUAUUUUUGUUUUCAAUAGAUAUCAUGGGCACUGAACACAGUUUUGCCUUCCUACAUCCAACAAAGGUAACAAAGCCAAAAAUAUGAUGGAUAAGAGUGCAUGUUUGCUAUUGGAGUACUCAGGGACUACUCACAGCAUUUAAGGUAAACAUGGGUAUGAGCCAUUGCUAACUUAGGGCAGCUCUUAUCUCCCGUUAAUUAAUGAUGUGCCACCUAUGGGGUGUCAGGGAAAGCAGUAGUACCAGGGCUCCUAUAGCAUAACUUCAGUUCCAUAUCAAAAAGCAUACAAAAAGCAUAUUUGGGUGUAUAUACACACAUAUUUGCAAACUACCAGGAGAAAUCCAUUUUCAAGCAAAGUAAAUGGGCUAUAGGGUCCCACAGUGGACCCAGUCAGCUCUGUGUUGAGAUCUGUGAUACAAACAGCUCUUACCAUGCUCAGCACAAAUUAAAAAGAACUAAAGAGAAUGGUCCAAAAAGAAAAUUUAAAAUCGACUUUACAAAAACAAAUAGAAAAGGACAGGGCCUGAAUGACUGUGAGAACGCCCUUUCCUUUUUGGCAAGGUGAAUGUUAUUGUUUGCCUGUGAAGAUGGAGCCCAGGUUGAGGAUGCCCAUAGCAAGCUCCUUUUGCAGUGCCUCAUCGGUCGCUCUUAGCCAGCAGUAACGUCUAAAAGUGCACAUCUCCCACACAGAGCCACUGCAAUACUCUCAACAUCCAUUUAAUUGGAAUGGACACUUGGUAAUUACAACAGGAACAGUUGUGUAAAGGGAAUAUCCAAAUAUAACUGGACAUUUUUCUUUGCAUUUCCUUCGCCAACUGUAUAAAAUUAACGACAGUGAGAGAGAACCGUAACUGUUCUUCUCUUAUUAAAUUCAUACACUUUGGCUCUACUCGUGGUUGUUAACAUAUUGUUGAAAGAGCUAUGACUUCAGCUUUCAACCCUCAUCCUGCAGUCAAGCCCUCACUGCACUGUUGUGGAUUAAAAAUUUUCAUUUGCUUAAAAAUAGAAUGUUACUUAUAAAACAACAACAACAAAUGUCAACCAAAUGCAAAGAGGUAUAAAUGUGAUUGAUCAGUGUCAAGUUCAGGUCUUCAGCCACCACAGUGUAUAGGACAAGAGCAAACGGCCUCAAACUGUGCCAGGGGAGGAUUGGGUUGAAUAUUAGGAAGAAUUUCUUCUCUGAAAGAGUGGUCAGGCACUGAAAUGGGAGGUUGAGGAGCCACUGUCCCUGGAGGUGAUAAGGCAAGGAUAGAUGUGGUGCUAAGGGACAUGGUUAGUGGGCAAUAUUGGUAGCAGGGGGGUGGUUGGACUGGAUGAUCUUAGAGCUCUUUUCCAACCUUAAUGGUUCUAUGAUUCUGUGAUUCUGUAUCAACUGGUGAGUGGGGAUCACAACGCUUUGAGGCUAGGCUGAAGUACCAUGUAGGCAACAGGCAGAAGUGGUGCAAAUACACACACACAUAUAUACAAAAUAUAUAUAGUUUGCAUUAUGCUUUUUGGGUGUAGACAAAUAGCACAUCCUUUGCAAUCAGCAGCACAAGAGAUUCCCUCAGCCCCGGGCUCACUGCUCAGGCUCCCUGGUACAAAUCCAGGGAGUGCUGUGCAGUUACAGAGAUGCUCUCUGCAGUGCGCAUUCCUGCGAUCUGCUGAGUCCUCCACCCUUGCAGAAAAUGAUACUGCUCCAAUUUUAUUUUUUAUUUUUUUAAGUCUAACGAGGGUAAUUAUAAUAGGAUUAACAGAUUUUUUUUUCCCUCCACAAAGUACAACUGUCUCAUAUCAGAGAGAGUAUUAUAGCAGACUUAUGACUAGACGAGUUUUUACUGUAUAUGGAAAUGUAUUAAAAUGAAUGUAUGGCUCAAACACACACAUCGCUCACUGUAUUGUUUUGUAGCAGCUACUUCUCCCACAAAGGGCGACCACAUGUGAAGAGUGAGAUUCCCAGUAAGUAUCUGGUAAACAUUUGGAAACGAGAGACAAAUAGCGCAGUGCAAUUGCACCAUCGUACUUCAAAUACCCACUUGAAAAAAAAAGAAAGAAUCCAUUCUGCAACGCGCCAAGCCUGGCUCCCAAAACCGGGAGGAAUCGCAACGCCGGUAAACUUGCAGAAAUAUUUUUACAAUUUUAUUAGAGGUUUUAAUUCAGUGCUUUAUCUACCUCUGUUAGUCUGCAAAAUAGCUUUAAAUAUUCAAGUGGUAAUUAAUGAAUCUUUUAUGUUGCAAAUCAAACAUUUUCAUCUGUGCUGUGGUACAGUGGCAGCGAGAAGGAGGGAUUUGGAGUGUAAUUGUUUCUCCUGUUCCCCUCGCAGUGCUGAAUGCCUUUUUACCCUUUAUUAUAUCAUCGGCUUUUGCUUCAGUUCAUCAGCGCAUUGCCACAUCUUAUCGGUCGAUAUUUGCUGUCUGGUUUGUUUUUUUUUUCUCAGUUCAAGAUUUCUUACUGUGCCUUUGCCAGAGACAUUCCUAAGGAGAUGGAAACUCUCUGAAUGUGGAAUUUUCGCAUGAGUGCAAAAUAAUAAAAAGCAUGUGUGUAUUAAAAAGGGAUCAACUUAAUGGGAAAUGAGCAUUGGGUUACAUUAAUAUUCUAUUACAGUAAAAAUCAUAUUUAAUAAAUUUUCUCCAGAUUUUUCAGAAUCUUACUGUAUUUUUCUAAGUUCUAUGCCAAUCCAAAGAAACAGUGUAUAUGAUACAUUUGAUUUAUGUUAAGUAAAUAACCUGCACAGCCCGUUUUGGGGUUUAAAAAAAAAUUAAGUGUAGAAACACACACCAGACUGCAAUGUGUGCUUAGUUUCCAUGUGCUGGGAGAAAUAGUGUUGGUCUUGUGCAGCAGAAAGACUUUAUAAACAGUAUUCUAUUUUAUUGAUGCUAUAUGUGGAGUUUUAUGUUAUGUGGCAAGAGCACGAGAAUGAAAACAUUGUAAUUUAUCCUAAACCAUAAAAUUAUACUAGUACUAAAGUAAUUACUUCACAUAUUAAAACACGGUUUCCUUUACUUUCCUUUGUCAUCGCGUAAAAUUAGGAGCUGGGCGCUGCAGUGGAGCUUUUCUCGCCUUCCCCAUCUUGCACAAAGCAUUGACACAUCUGUGAUGGCACACUAUAUCACCCGACCCUUGUUGUUCUGUGACCCUAAUUAAUAUUAUACUGGGUGACAUUUAUGUAUCAGAGCAAUAAGCUAAACAGGAAACAAUUUAUGUCACCUAAAGCUUUUUAACAAAUCGAUGCAACUAUUUGUAAUUGCUUGUUUCACAAGAUUAAAAGUACUCAGCCUUGAUCUUCGCCCACGGUUUUGUGGCCAACAUGACCUGUGCUUCCGUUGUAAAAUAGGAGUGUUGGUGAUCAGCACCUAUUUCCAUCAAGUAAUCCAUAUUGCUAAUAUUUCUGGAAUUUUAAUGUAGUUACAAUUUAUAGCCGAUCAAAUGUGGUUACCUAAAUUGCUGUUGCUAGUAGACAGUUUAACUGUCUUUAUUAAUUACAGUAUAAUUUAAUGUUUGAGUACAGGCACUUGUGUUGGUCAUUUUUACAGCCAAAGCAGUUAUGUGCCUUAUGACGAACCAUUUUAGCAUUUUCAAUGGAAAUUUGCUAAUAUGAUGAGUGAUAAAAAUGUCAAACUCUGGUAAAUAAUGGUUAUUGCUUUGGCUGGAAUUAAUCCUUGAAAGGACGGUUACCUUCAAAUUACCAUUAUUGCUUGAAGAAAAAAAAACAACAUUUUUUAGGUUUCUGAGAUGCAUCAAAAAUGGCUGCUGACGGCUUCCAAACAAAUGAAGAUGCAGUUCCAGCCACAGGGGUGGUGUUUCCAUUUCUCUUUUUCCAGAUAGAGGAAUUCCCUGUUGAGUAAGAUUUGAGGAAGGGCUGUUUUGGGUUAAACACUCCACACAAUGCUGUUGACUACUUCCAGCCCACGUGCUUUGCAGCUGCCUAAUGGAGCUGAUAAAAUGGGCAGAGAGAGGGCCUCUACCAGGUGUAAUGGAAGAUGGAGACAAAGAGUUACAGGGUGAGCAGGGACAUGUGUAUGGCACGAAGGGGAUGUCACCAGUCAUCAGUGGCAGUACUGGCCACGAAGCACCUGGCAGUUGUCACCACCACCAUCAUGGCAGUUGGGUGAAGGGCGGAGCUCACCUCCUCUGCAAGGAAUUUGAGCAAUGACCUGAUUAACUCACUAUUAAACCAAUGUUUAACAUCAUCACUGGCGCCGCAGCCUGAUCACUAGGUUAAAAGGCCUAAUUAGAGUUUGUUGUGGUGCAGGGCGCGUCUCUGUGGGAGUGAACAGCACCAACAGUUGGUUGUUCCUUCCAUCACUUCUGUGAAACCUGCUGUCCUUUGCCAUCACAGCCCAGGUCAGAGGGCAUUAUGCAGCUCAUCAGCAGCUGUACACACAAAGCACAGAGAGCACCAUGCUGUGCUGGGCCUCCAGCUCCCAUGCUAGGCCACGGCUGUCUUCUGCUCUCCUCACCAGCACAGAAGAAGCCCAGAAAAGCCAUGCACUGCCCUCUGCUUCUCUUUGGAAGUGGCCCAGAGAUGCAUCGCCUCAACGGACCACCGAAGUGCUUUUCAGCUUUGAUAGAAAACAGCAUUUGAUGCUGGGAAAGGUAUAGCCACAGAAAGUCAGCAGAUGACAGAUGCUGGGUUCAACGUGCAGUGGACACACAGUGCAGAGAUGAUGACCAGGGAAGUGAAACAGAGGAAUCAUUUGGGAUACCUUCAGAGCUCACAGGCUCCCUGGAUCCUCUCCUGGUCUGUACAAAGCCAGGGUGACUCCUAUGGGGACAAGCAGUCCUCAUCCAAGGGGCUGAGAUCCUCCCAGGCCAUGUUCCUCUACCUGGAGCUGACCCCACCACCCGUGCUUUAGAUACACAGAGCGCUCCUGCCAAAAUAAACACUCUUCUGCCAGUGACGUAGGAAUGUUUUCUUAACUGCAAAAGUGAGACCACUCCCAUGUACUAAAACUUCACUAAUGAUAGAAGAGCAAUACGUGACCUAACUCAAUUCUAUCCUAUGCAUUUUUCAUUAGCAAAAUCCACCCGUCAAUACAAUUUUGAGACACGUUGUAAUGAGUGUGCAAGAUUUUCCCCCUCCCCCCUCAAAAAAAAAAAAAAAAUAGUAGUAGCUAUCUGGUAUAAUUUUAUGAUAGAAUAUUUUUAUAAAAUCAUUUGUACUAAUUUAAGCAUUUAUCAUUAUAUGCAAAAAGAUUUCUUGAUGAGAAUAUUAUAGACGGUGCAUGUUUUUGACAUUAGCAUUUUAUUUGGAUGACUAAUCUUGCAGAUGUGAAAUUUUAAUGAAUUAUUCAUGAAAAAAUCUCUCCUCUGAAAUUCUGGUUUACUGCUAAUGCUAGUUAUUAAACAUUUUUCUUUAUAAAACUUGAUGAAGAAAAUAAAAGUGUACUUCAAAAAAAAAGAAAAAAAAGAUGGGUUUUUCCUCUCAAAGUUUGUCUCAGGUGACAGCGUAACUUGGAACGUUGUUCUCAUGGUGGUGUGGACUGAGAUCCAUCUUGCAGCCCGUUCUGUGUACAUACAGUACCUGCCAAGCCCUUUCCGCUGAAGCCAGGAGGAACAGUCCAGUCCAGCUCCCAUUAAGGAACUCCCCUUGAGACGAUUUGCAAGAUUAGGACCCAAACCCUUUUUUCUCACUUUCAGCUUUGAAGUUGAGCCCAUCAAGAAAGCAAAUACCCCCAGCUGCCCAGGAACCAAAUAGGCAAACUCUGAUGGACUUGGUUGGAUAGCAGAUGAGUUCUUCCAAGUGAGCAUCCUCCUCACAUCCAGCGCUCAAGGCCUCAACAAGCAUCCUGUCCAGCCAGGAAACUGGAGCUAAAAGCUUGCAACUCAAUGUGGCUGGGGAGGCCCAAGGAAUGCGAUGGACUGUGCGUGGAUGGGCAGGGACAGGGUGAGGGGUGAGCAACUGCUCCACAGGGUCUGCUCUGGGGUUGCUGGGGAUGCGACACAGAGCCGGGAGGGAGGAGAAACAAACAAACAAACAAAAACUUAGGACAUGGCAACUUGCAUUACCAGUGUGAACAA
This is a non-coding RNA of Meleagris gallopavo (turkey), 9066 nucleotides long. NCBI's taxonomy places the organism in Eukaryota, Metazoa, Chordata, Aves, Galliformes, Phasianidae. The record is from RefSeq and is a predicted model, not a curated record.